UACGAGGGGGGGCGAGCGUUGUUCGGGAAUUAUUGGGCGUAAAGGGUGCGUAGGCGGUUCCGCAAGUCCUGUGUGAAAUCUUCGGGCUCAACUCGAAGUCUGCACGGGAAACUCGGGGGCUGAGUGUGGGGAGAGGUGAGUGGAAUUCCCCGGUGUAGCGGUGAAAUGCUAGAUAUCGGGGAGGAACACCUGUGGCGAAAGCGGCUCA
RNAcentral lists this ribosomal RNA (208 nucleotides) under uncultured bacterium. RNAcentral describes it as "partial 16S ribosomal RNA". It matches the Rfam family "Bacterial small subunit ribosomal RNA", at positions 524 to 728 of the family's 1533-position model. The record is from RNAcentral.